Non-coding RNA from Macaca mulatta (Rhesus monkey), 47 nucleotides. The record is from Rfam. Lineage: Eukaryota; Metazoa; Chordata; Mammalia; Primates; Cercopithecidae.
CAAAAGGCUCUUUUCAGAGCCACCACUGAUCUCAAUAAAAGAGCUGG